This 638-nucleotide ribosomal RNA is filed under the name Escherichia coli. RNAcentral describes it as "partial 23S ribosomal RNA". It matches the Rfam family "Bacterial large subunit ribosomal RNA", at positions 1252 to 1875 of the family's 2925-position model. The record is from RNAcentral. Lineage: Bacteria; Pseudomonadati; Pseudomonadota; Gammaproteobacteria; Enterobacterales; Enterobacteriaceae.
GAAGGUGGCCUGUGAGGGUUGCUGGAGGUAUCAGAAGUGCGAAUGCUGACAUAAGUAACGAUAAAGCGGGUGAAAAGCCCGCUCGCCGGAAGACCAAGGGUUCCUGUCCAACGUUAAUCGGGGCAGGGUGAGUCGACCCCUAAGGCGAGGCCGAAAGGCGUAGUCGAUGGGAAACAGGUUAAUAUUCCUGUACUUGGUGUUACUGCGAAGGGGGGACGGAGAAGGCUAUGUUGGCCGGGCGACGGUUGUCCCGGUUUAAGCGUGUAGGCUGGUUUUCCAGGCAAAUCCGGAAAACCAAGGCUGAGGCGUGAUGACGAGGCACUACGGUGCUGAAGCGACAAAUGCCCUGCUUCCAGGAAAAGCCUCUAAGCAUCAGGUAACAUCAAAUCGUACCCCAAACCGACACAGGUGGUCAGGUAGAGAAUACCAAGGCGCUUGAGAGAACUCGGGUGAAGGAACUAGGCAAAAUGGUGCCGUAACUUCGGGAGAAGGCACGCUGAUAUGUAGGUGAAGCGACUUGCUCGUGGAGCUGAAAUCAGUCGAAGAUACCAGCUGGCUGCAACUGUUUAUUAAAAACACAGCACUGUGCAAACACGAAAGUGGACGUAUACGGUGUGACGCCUGCCCGGUGCCGGAAG